This is a small nucleolar RNA of Acomys russatus (golden spiny mouse), 135 nucleotides long. RefSeq annotates it as small nucleolar RNA SNORA17. Lineage: Eukaryota; Metazoa; Chordata; Mammalia; Rodentia; Muridae. The record is from RefSeq and is a predicted model, not a curated record. The transcript has a single exon.
CCUGUCCCUAGAGGCAAUGAAGUUGCUGUUGCUGGUGUGUCACAUGUGUGUCAGUAGGUGGCUGAGAGGAAAGAGGCUGCGUUUAAGCACUGUGUUCUGACCUGUGAACAUCUGCACGAUUAGUAGCCUAACACU